Molecule: non-coding RNA, 1095 nt
Organism: Pelobates cultripes (western spadefoot toad)
Lineage: Eukaryota; Metazoa; Chordata; Amphibia; Anura; Pelobatidae
Source: the annotation of a GenBank genome assembly
AGUCACACACAGGCAGAGAGUCACACACACAUAGUCACACACAGACGCACACAGGCAGGCAGUCACACACACAGGCAGGCAGUUACACAGAGUCACACACACACACAGGCAGGCAGUCACACACACAUACAGGCAGGCAGUCACACAGAGAGUCACACACACAGGCAGGCAGUCACACAGACAGUCACACACACAGGCAGUCAGACAGUCACACACACACACACACACAGGCAGGCAGUCACACAGACAGACAGUCACACACACACACACAGGCAGACAGUCACACAGACAGACAGUCACACACACAGGUAGGCAGACACACAAACAGGCAGGCAGACAGUCACACGCAUACACAGGCAGGCAGUCACACAGACAGUCACAUACAGGCAGGCAGACACAUGAACAGGCAAACACUAACACACAGGCAGGCAGUCACAGUCACACACACAUACACACAGACUUACCUCUUUCUGUUGUGAAAUCAAUCAAGUAAUUGAUUAUCUUGCAUAUCUGCCCCUGGCCAAAUUAAAGUAUGCGUGCACGCUCCUGAAGUAAUUCACACCAGACACAGGUUUCAGGUUAAUGAAAAACUUGAGGAAGAGUUUAUUCUAGGGGGGACGGCAUGCCCCUUAUAAAGCAAAAUUACAUCAUAUGCUUUGUCAGAGAUAACAUGGAAUAAUACAUCAAUAAUUGGUUAGGUGUUAAGUGGUUCAUCUAUUGCUCUUCCUACCGGGUGUGAUGUCACUGGCAUCAUGGAGGUCUCCCCCAGAUUCCAGCGCCAUCUUGUUAAUGAGGGUGUUAGUCAAUGACAAGGGGAAACUCCCUAUUGGCCAUUUUAGGUAAAUCAUGUAUAACGCUGAAUAAUGCUGAUUAUGGUUAUGCUGAGUAAAUAGGCAUUUUACUAACAUAAAUUGGGUUAAUAUUUUUGUCCACAACACUUUCUAUUAUGGCUGGAAGGGGUAGUGGAUGCAGUUGGUUGUUGGGGAAGCAGGAUGCCUUCCUGCUUUCCUCUUCCUGUGCAGCUUUGGGUAGGUAUUACCAGGGGCUUCAGGUAUGUAUCCCCACCCCGCUGCUCACUAAGCCCCUCACUAAGCC